AUCGAACGCUGGCGGCAGGCCUAACACAUGCAAGUCGAACGAGUGGCGGACGGGUGAGUAAUGUCUGGGCAACUGCCUGAUGGAGGGGGAUAACUACUGGAAACGGUAGCUAAUACCGCAUACCAUCGGAUGUGCCCAGAGGGGAUUAGCUACUAGGUGGGGUAACGGCUCACCAAGGCGACGAUCCCUAGCUGGUCUGAGAGGAUGACCAGCCACGCUUGAACUGAGACACGGUCCAGACUCCUACGGGAGGCAGCAGUAGGGAAUAUUGCACAAUGGACGCAAGCCUGAUGCAGCCAGGCCGCGUGUAUGAAGAAGGCCGUCGGAUUGUAAAGUACUUUCAGCGGGGAGGCGUUACCCGCAGAAGAAGCACCGGCUAACUCCGUGCCAGCAGCCGCGGUAAUAC
This 406-nucleotide ribosomal RNA is filed under the name uncultured bacterium. RNAcentral's name for it is "partial 16S ribosomal RNA". It matches the Rfam family "Bacterial small subunit ribosomal RNA", at positions 30 to 526 of the family's 1533-position model. The record is from RNAcentral.